UGGGAUUACAGGCGUGAGCCACCACGCCGGGCCACUUAUUCUGUUUCAUGGGAUGAAGUGUUGCUCAAUUCUAGAAUACCAAAUAAGCCAAUUAAGAUUUUUAAACUAAAUGUGUUGUAAUUUUGUCUUUUGACAGUGCCAUUGUACAGGUGAUUCACUACUCCACCACUCCACUCACCUACUCACAAUGACGGUUUUCAACAUUUCAGGAACGGUUUCUACCUUAGGCUCAGAGCAAUUCCUACUUCUCCCUCAUGAGGAAUUGGAGGAGGUGGUGAUAAAAUUCUUCAUCUGGUUGUGAGGUGGUAUUUCACACAACUCCUUGAUAAAUAUUGGAGGUGAUACUGGAUACAGGAAAACUUACAAUAAUCAGAUUGUUACAGGUAGUUAGGCAUCAACAGGGCAGCAGAGGGCUCUCUCCCGACCCACUAGAAAUGUCAGGUGAUGGUUCAGCAAUUAACAAAUUGCCUCUCUAAGAAUGAGAAUUCGGCAGCCAGGGAGAGACAAUCUCUUGAUGGUCCACACCUGUUAACAUUAAAAGUGUUAAUUGAAUACAGCCCCCCAAGCAGCAGCUUCUUGGGCACCCGUGUUAAGAGACAAAUGGCGAAGUAUAGGCCGGGCACGGUGGCUAUAUUCUAUAAAUUCUAAAGAGAAUGAAAAGGACUUGCCAAGCUUCCUUUGGGAGAUACUAAAUUUGUUUUUUUUUUUUUUUUGAGACGGAGUCUCGCUCUGUCACCCAGGCUGGAGUGCAGUGGCUUGAUCUUGGCUCACUGCAAGCUCCGCCUCCUGGGCUCACACCAUUCUCCUGCCUCAGCCUCCUGGGACUACAGGUGCCUGCCAC
This 841-nucleotide long non-coding RNA is filed under the name Homo sapiens (human). Its description in RNAcentral is "HSALNT0130450". The record is from RNAcentral. Lineage: Eukaryota; Metazoa; Chordata; Mammalia; Primates; Hominidae.